CGGCGGCCGUAACUAUAACGGUCCUAAGGUAGCGAAAUUCCUUGUCGGGUAAGUUCCGACCCGCACGAAAGGCGUAACGAUUUGGGCACUGUCUCAACAAUAGACUCGGUGAAAUUGUAAUCCCGGUGAAGAUGCCGGGUACCUGCGACAGGACGGAAAGACCCCAUGGAGCUUUACUGUAGCUUGACGUUGGGUCUUGGUACUACAUGUACAGGAUAGGUGGGAGACUAUGAAGCAUGGACGCCAGUCUGUGUGGAGUCAUCCUUGGGAUACCACCCUUGUAGUACUGGGAUCCUAACCAUAGGCCUUGAAUCAGGUCUUGGAACACCGUCAGGUGGGCAGUUUGACUGGGGCGGUCGCCUCCUAAAAAGUAACGGAGGCGCUCAAAGGUUUCCUCAGCACGGUCGGAAAUCGUGCGAAGAGUGUAAAGGCAAAAGGAAGCUUGAUUGCAAGACAUACAGGUCGAGCAAGGACGAAAGUCGGACUUAGUGAUCCGGUGGUACCGCAUGGAAGGGCCAUCGCUCAACGGAUAAAAGCUACCCUGGGGAUAACAGGCUUAUCUCCCCCAAGAGUCCACAUCGACGGGGAGGUUUGGCACCUCGAUGUCGGCUCAUCACAUCCUGGGGCUGUAGUAGGUCCCAAGGGUUGGGCUGUUCGCCCAUUAAAGUGGUACGCGAGCUGGGUUCAGAACGUCGUGAGACAGUUCGGUCCCUAUCCGUCGCAGGCGUAGGAAAUUUGAGAAGACCUGUCCUUAGUACGAGAGGACCGGGAUGGACGUACCUCUGGUGUACCAGUUGUUCUGCCAAGGGCAUAGCUGGGUAGCUAUGUACGGAAUGGAUAAGCGCUGAAAGCAUCUAAGCGCGAAGCCAACUUCAAGAUAAGAUUUCCCACCGUAAGGGUAAGACCCCAGGAAGACUACCUGGUUGAUAGGUCGAAGGUGUAAGUGCAGUAAUGUAUUUAGCUUAUCGAUACUAAUAGGUCGAGGACUUGACCAA
This 995-nucleotide ribosomal RNA is filed under the name human gut metagenome. RNAcentral describes it as "bacterial LSU rRNA". It matches the Rfam family "Bacterial large subunit ribosomal RNA", at positions 1928 to 2925 of the family's 2925-position model. The record is from RNAcentral.